RNAcentral lists this ribosomal RNA (421 nucleotides) under uncultured bacterium. Its description in RNAcentral is "partial 16S ribosomal RNA". It matches the Rfam family "Bacterial small subunit ribosomal RNA", at positions 360 to 773 of the family's 1533-position model. The record is from RNAcentral.
AAUAUUGGACAAUGGGGGCAACCCUGUUCCAGCCUUGCCGCGUUUGUGAAGAAGGUCUUCGGUUUGUAAAGCACUUUAAUUUGGGAGGAAGGUCGUUAGGUUAAUCCCCAGAAUUUUUGACGUUACCAACAGAAUAAGCACCGCCUAACUCUGUACGAGCAGCCGCGGUAAUACAGAGGGUGCAAGCGUUAAUCGGAAUUACUGGGCGUAAAGCGCGCGUAGGUGGUUCAGUAAGAUGGGUGUGAAAUCCCCGGGCUUAACCUGGGAACUGCUUUCAUAACUGCUGAGCUAGAGUACGGUAGAGGGUAGUGGAAUUUCCUGUGUAGCGGUGAAAUGCGUAGAUAUAGGAAGGAACACCAGUGGCGAAGGCGACUACCUGGACUGAUACUGACACUGAGGUGCGAAAGCGUGGGGAGCAAAC